RNAcentral lists this small RNA (92 nucleotides) under Sphenodon punctatus (tuatara). RNAcentral describes it as "Y RNA (ENSSPUG00000009629.1)". The record is from RNAcentral. Lineage: Eukaryota; Metazoa; Chordata; Lepidosauria; Sphenodontia; Sphenodontidae.
GGCCCUUCCUCAGGCAAUUUAUAAUUAACUGAUCAGAAUCAGUUACAGAUUUCUUCGUUCUUUUCCCUACUUUGCCUGAGGAAGGGCCCUGU